This 227-nucleotide ribosomal RNA is filed under the name uncultured bacterium. Its description in RNAcentral is "partial 16S ribosomal RNA". It matches the Rfam family "Bacterial small subunit ribosomal RNA", at positions 107 to 334 of the family's 1533-position model. The record is from RNAcentral.
UGAGUAACACGUAUCCAACCUGCCGUCUACUCUUGGACAGCCUUCUGAAAGGAAGAUUAAUACAAGAUGGCAUCAUGAGUCCACAUGUUCACAUGAUUAAAGGUAUUUCGGUAGACGAUGGGGAUGCGUUCCAUUAGAUAGUAGGCGGGGUAACGGCCCACCUAGUCUACGAUGGAUAGGGGUUCUGAGAGGAAGGUCCCCCACAUUGGAACUGAGACACGGUCCAA